This 253-nucleotide ribosomal RNA is filed under the name uncultured bacterium. RNAcentral describes it as "partial 16S ribosomal RNA". It matches the Rfam family "Bacterial small subunit ribosomal RNA", at positions 524 to 776 of the family's 1533-position model. The record is from RNAcentral.
UACGAAGGGGGCUAGCGUUGUUCGGAAUUACUGGGCGUAAAGCGCACGUAGGCGGGUUGUUAAGUCAGGGGUGAAAUCCUGGAGCUCAACUCCAGAACUGCCUUUGAUACUGGCAACCUAGAGACUGGAAGAGGUUAGUGGAAUUCCCAGUGUAGAGGUGAAAUUCGUAGAUAUUGGGAAGAACACCAGUGGCGAAGGCGGCUAACUGGUCCAGCACUGACGCUGAGGUGCGAAAGCGUGGGGAGCGAACAGG